This 97-nucleotide ribosomal RNA is filed under the name Elaphomyces sp. HB1. Its description in RNAcentral is "partial 28S rRNA". Lineage: Eukaryota; Fungi; Ascomycota; Eurotiomycetes; Eurotiales; Elaphomycetaceae. The record is from RNAcentral.
UACAAUCGACAAGGGUGGGAGGUCUAGGGUCAACCCCGCCCCGCCCCGGGAAGGGGGGUUCAGGGGACCCACGCUCAGUAAUGAUCCUUCCGCAGGU